AAAAAUCAAUAAAAUAUAUUUUUAAAAAAAAAGCUCUGUGAGCAUAUGUGUUUUGUUUUGUUCCUGAGGAGAAGGUUCCUGACUUAGAGAGAGCAGUCAGUAACCCACUCAGGAUUAGGAACCACAGUUCUAGUCAACCUCUCAUUUGACAGGAUGAGGAGACCCAUCUUGGCCUAGGGUCACAAAGAACCAAGAUUUAAUGCAUAGCCCUGGAUUCCUCUGGUCCAGGAAUCUCCUGUGCUCACCCACACCAGCCUGUUGUAUUGACCUCUGAUGACACAUUUGAAUCAUAUGCCAGACUCAAACCAAGGUAAAUUUCUAUCUUGUUAGAAUUUUAGGGUAAUUGAGUUAGGUGGCAACUAGUGGCCAAUUUAUUUUUUGCCUGUUUGUGUCAUUUAAAAAAGAAUCUAGCAUGUGCUCAUUAAAAGAUUUGGAAAAGUGGAAGAAAACAGCAACAAAUUCACUCCUAGUCUCAACGUUCUUAAACAUAGCCACUAAUGGUAUUUUAGUAUUUCUUUUAGUCUCUCUGUAGAUAAGGUGUGUGAUUGGGUUUAACUUUGGUUGUACUCAUGCUGUGUAUUUUAUAUUAUGCUUUUUUUUCAUUUAAUACCUUAUAAAUAUUUUUAUGUAAAUAAAAUUUGAAAAAUAAAGGUAGAAAGAAGA
Molecule: long non-coding RNA, 663 nt
Organism: Pipistrellus kuhlii (Kuhl's pipistrelle)
Lineage: Eukaryota; Metazoa; Chordata; Mammalia; Chiroptera; Vespertilionidae
Exons: 2
Source: RefSeq, a predicted model, not a curated record